This 264-nucleotide ribosomal RNA is filed under the name uncultured archaeon. RNAcentral describes it as "partial 16S ribosomal RNA". It matches the Rfam family "Archaeal small subunit ribosomal RNA", at positions 717 to 982 of the family's 1478-position model. The record is from RNAcentral.
ACACGACUACAUUACGAUACCCCGGUAGUCCCAGCCCUAAACGAUGCGCGUUAGGUGUAUCGGUGACCACGAGUCACCGAGGUGCCGAAGGGAAACCGUGAAACGUGCCGCCUGGGAAGUACGGUCGCAAGGCUGAAACUUAAAGGAAUUGCGGGGGAGCACCACAAGAGGUGGAGGCUGCGGUUCAAUUGGACUCAACGCCGGAAACUCAUCGGGAGCGACAGCAGUAUGAUUGCCAGGUUGAUGACCUUGCUUGACAAGCUG